AAACAGUAACAUAACGGUCAUAGACGUGAGAGUAGCAAGUACCCGGCGAGUAGAUCGAGGCACGUGUGGAUUCAGUAAAUAAAAAAUGAAUAUAAUUGAGUUUUGGUAAUUAAAUCGAAUGCACAGCAAAACAAUUUCCUAUAUAUUUGAAGAGCGAAGUGUGAAAAGAAAGCAAAUAUUGCCUGGCCGAACUAAGUGAAACGUCAGUCUGUGGAUACUUUUAUAAGAGCGUCGUUUACUUACUCUGGCUGUCAUACGCACAACACACACACCCACUCGCACUCGCACUCGCACUCACACUCAAUCAUCUACCAUUGCGAACAGCUGUGACGCGCCACUGCCGUAGAUAUUCACAAUAGACGAACUACAAACGUCAAAAGUAAAAUGUAAAAAGUGAAGUUAGGGUUAUUGCCGCAUAUUAGUCAUCCUUUUCACACGCACUUGCAUUACCUAAGUGCGGAAGUGGUAAACGAACAGCUGAACGAUGGCAGAUAGCAGCGAUGUCACCGAUUGUGACUGAGUCGGCUGGCUUGUUUGCGUUUGCUACAGUUCGAUUAACUGCAGCGUUUGCCAAGACUGCGAGUGAGUGAACGAACGAGGCACGAAAAAGUCGUAUAGAAAGUGGUUGAGCGCUAAGUGAAGUAAUAUAUACUUAUGUAUGUAUGGAUGUAAUUAAGUGAAGUAAUAUGUAAUUCAGUAACUUUUACAGUGUAAAAAUAAAUAAAAUUACAAGAUAAUACUAUACAUAUAUGUAUGUAUGUAUGUAUAAGUGAUUGAGAAAUUGUGUGUGGAAAAAAUAUCGAAGGAAAAGCUUCUUAUAAAACAAUAUAUAUGUAUAUGUUUUUACUUGAUCACUGCUUUUCUUUGAGCGUCCCACAGUGUAACACACACAUAAUCAAACAAAUUAUCAGCGCUUGCACAACAACAAGAACACCAAAGAAAAAAUUCAAGUGCAGACGUAAAUGCAUUUUCUUUUUUCAUUUUCCUGCAACCACCUUUACAACGUUUGCGUCAUCCUUUUUGCUGCCAACUUCGUCGGUUGACUCCUAAUUUACCGUACUUCGCUGUGUCGUUUAGCGUUUGACGCCCUGUCAAUGGUGCCCGGCACAAUCAGAAACCGUGAGAGCGACGCUGCUACAUAUAUGUAUGUACGUGCAUACAUAGGCAUUAUAUUAUGUACAUAUGUAUGUGUAUGUAAACAAAUGUAACUCCGUGUGUGUGUAAAUUCCGCUUGGAAGUCAUUAAAUCGGUGGGUCAUUUGUCCUUGUGUGAGCAGGAUAGCAGUAAAAACCGAAAAACAUACAUACAUAGUUACAUGUGUGUUAGUGAACAUUAACGCUUGUGAAGCAUCACAAAAGAAUAAAGUCGCAUAAAGAAAUAGAAAUGGCGAAUGUGAAAAUGAAAAUAAUCAAAUGAAGUUCAGUGAUUUUAUGAUGUUUACAUUUUGAAAAAAUGGAAUAAAUCUAAAAAUAAAAAUAAAAUUGGGUGCGGUAACUGUGAAAUCGGAAAACAAAGUCAACAAAUAUUUGUUAAAGCGUUUUCGCUAAAAUAAUCGAUUAUAAAAAUUACAAAACAGCAAAUAUACGAGCGUAGGAAAGUACUACGCGUGUCUACCUACGCCUUUAUUGACCCCCGCCAACGCCCUCUGUGGUCCUUUAACAUUUAUCGCCCUAUCCGCGCAUCCGUCCGCCCACUUCCGUUGAAUCUGCAAACUUGCAAACCGCAAAAACGCGUCUGCUCUUAAUGUAUACAUAUGUAGGUGUGUGAAAGUGUACUGUGGGUGUGUUUACAUUAUUACACAUACAUAUGCGCAUUCGCAUUUGUAUUUGUGUGCAACAACGUCUCGCAUAAAAUAAACGCGAAUAUUAAUUUUCAAAUUCAAGGAUAGCUUGCUUUUACUGGCAGCAAAGUAAAAUACGAAAUAAUGUAAACGAUUUCUAAAACCGAGUAAGCUUUACGAGCGCGUCUCAAGAGCAAAAAAAUAUAACUUGUUUGCGAAAACAGCGAAAAUAUAAAAAGGUUCUUCAACGUCACAUUUUAGCGCUCUCUGGAAUUGAAAUUUCGAUGUAAGAUUAGCGAAUGUGGAGCACAUUAAAGAUUUUACAAUUGAUAUCGACAGCAACUUUGAUAAGUUUUUGGAAAAUAGUAACUGAUAUUUUCCAACGUAAAGCGAAGAGCACAAUCGAAGGAUGUGUAAGCAGAGUGGCACGAAGCGAUAAAAGCCAAGAAACACAAAACUAAAAGGCAUCCA
Molecule: long non-coding RNA, 2251 nt
Organism: Rhagoletis zephyria (snowberry fruit fly)
Lineage: Eukaryota; Metazoa; Arthropoda; Insecta; Diptera; Tephritidae
Source: RefSeq, a predicted model, not a curated record